This is an RNA transcript of Betta splendens (Siamese fighting fish), 3338 nucleotides long. It is a transcript of the gene named MAF bZIP transcription factor Aa, with no coding region annotated. The transcript has 2 exons. Lineage: Eukaryota; Metazoa; Chordata; Actinopteri; Anabantiformes; Osphronemidae. The record is from RefSeq and is a predicted model, not a curated record.
ACCGUCGAUCCUCCACCUUGCUGAUGUCCAUUUUGCUUAAAUCGGUAGAACUGCACGUACAGCGAAGUCCCAGUAUUCAAAGCCACAAUGAAAACCCGACUUAAAAAAUUGAUGUCUCAAGCCCUCGGCCGCAGACGCUCCCCUUCCCCUGACAAUGAAUGGACCACAGCAGAUCUUCUUAAACGUGCCAUUUCAAUGCAGAGUGCUUAGCUGGGCGUUUGAAGGCCAGUCCUGCUUAUUUCAUAGAAAGGGCCUCUCCUAAUGACUUAGCGCACCUAAACUUCAAAUACCUAGAUAUGAUUUCUGUCCCUUCAUCUCAAACCCAUCUUUUCAUCCUCGCCAGCACAUUUGAGGCGGGAGGGGCGCGUAUUUCAUGGCCAGUUCGGACGGGAAGUAAAGCUCAGCAGCUGCGCAAGGUUUUCCUGUGCGCAUCUGACCAGGUUAAACUUAGUGCCACCUGUUUUUCCGCAGAUCGGCACUUUAUUCCGCAGAUAUAUCACUCAUUUAUCGGUGCAGAUGGGGCCCCGGGGGCGGGCACUGCUGAACAGGCUAAAGGAGUCAGGUGCGGCGGUGUCCCGUUUCAAGUCGCUUCAUGACAGUUUAUUACCGGUAUCGACGUCCCACUCAACCUUCCGCUCCGAUUUGCUUCACCCCAAUCACAGCCUCUCUCUCCUCACAAUAUGAGACAAAUGUGGCCGGAAUGGAGACGCACGCGGCGGGUCUUAAUUAUCCGUCGAUCCGCAGAGAUGAGGCGGGAUGCAAUUUGCGGUUAAUUGGGAAUGAAACCCCUCACGAGCGACGCCAGGGCUGUCCAAUCACACUUAACCCUUCUGCAGCCACGCUGCGGCCUCUUCUGCCCCGCGGAAAUGCCGAUUGAUUUUUUUUUUUUUUAGGCAAAGGAGCGCUCGGCCUUCAAUCGAUCAGUGAUUGAUUGAUUAGGUGGUUUGUGGUGUCUGAAACAUCCUCAGGCUUCCUGAAGCCUAAACGAGUAAAGAGGACACCGUAAGCUCUUUUUAAUAAAGCCAAUACCAGAGAAGCGUUUGAUUAGGUGCCAUUGUGAAUCUUGCUCUCAGUUCAUUUGCGCCGCGGUGCAGUGACCAGCCAGACCGCAGGACACCGUCAUCAGUUUGGGCUUUAAUAAUGUUAUGGUCUGAGCUUUGCCCACUUUUUAACUUUUGAAAUCUUUAACGCACUAUUGUAAAAAUCAAUGUAAAGAUCUUUGGCUGUUCAACCUGACGGCAUGAGAAUGAUUUUCUUUUCUGUCACCUCUGAACGCACGCGCACCGACUCAUUACGUAAGUGACACCCGCUCCUGAGCAGGUGGAACGCGCCUCUCGGCUCCCACUAAACAUUUGUGCGUGAGCGCCGCCGGAGCUGGCCUCUCUCCGGCUGCGUCGUGCAGUAGCACCUGCUCGGUCACUAGAGGGGGGAUCUGCUGCACCUGUUCUCCGUGCGUCCCGGCUCCGCUCGCUUCGUGCCCGCUCGGCUCUUCCCGGCGGUCCGCUGCCGCUGAGUGUAGAGGAGCUGCUAUAGGAUAAUGCAAAUCCUCCGCUGCGGUCCCCUCCCAUUGGCCCGUCACACCUCUGAGUGGGAGGGUCGCGGUCCACGCCGCCUUUAUAAGUGCAGAUUGCCUUCCAGCGCCUCAGUGACACUGCGUGGUUGCCCAAGAAGCUCUUAAAGCAAUUUGAGGGCCUUUAGAGGAAAAAAACAAUUGGAAUUUAUCACCUCUUGCAUAAUAAUCCUCUCACACACAGUCCCACACAUAAGACCGACAGAGUGCGCCGGUGAAGGGGGACUGCACCGUGAGUAGACGCCGCUUGAGUGAAAUAUCUGGACUGAGCACAACUCCAGCGGGCCACACUUCCCUGUCCUCGCGUUGGGAGAACCAUCUGCAACUUAAGCUUCAUCUCGAGUUCAAACGAACUUUAAGAACUUGUGCACGUGUCCUUCCGUUUGGAGUCCCCGGGACGCUCGUGGCCCUUCUUGACGCGCGCCUGCGCAGCCCGCUGUGACGGACGCACGCUGCUGCGAGCGCGCUAGAAACUUUAAAUCACGGCCAUGCUGCAGUGACCUCAGCGUCGAGCUGCAAACGAAAGGAUGCCCGCAAAACAUCUGUAGGAGUCCGGACGGAGGACUCCGCAGAGCCGAACGGAGGACGGUCAACCACGCGGAGGCGAGCGGGCUGCAGAGGUAAAGCGAGGACAGGACGGGCUGCUGUCUCCAAAUUCGCCAGGCUCGAGUUUCAGCCGCUUCGGGGGCUCCUGCAUUUGACCUGGGAUAAGUUGUCAACAAGCGCUUCGAGCGGAGGCGCACUGGCAGCAUGCACAUCGUCUAUGGUAUCCUCCUACUGAACAUGUGUAACGUCAAAGGCGAACCUAUACUGCACUAAGAAGAGAUCAGACUGGACGAGCGCUGCGUUUUCUAACCACAGGACCUUUGAUCUGGUACUUUCUUAAAUCCUGGGUGUAGAUUUGACGAGGUGAGCUUUAGUCAUUUAGUGUAUCAGACGGAUAAGGAUUGCAUUCGCUGCUAAAACUCUAUGCACCAACACGAUCGUUAAUAAGAGUUAAUUUUUUUUACUUUAAAUAUUUGCAGACACAUUUCCGCAGAGCCUGCGCGUCCACUCUGCAGCUCUGCGUCUUAAUGAGAGCUUGUCUGUUAGGAGGAUGCUUGAUUGACUGAAUGACUUUUUGCCUGGUGGGAGCGAAGGAGGAACUUGAUGCAUUAUUCUGUCAACAAGAAAUCUCUGGCUCGUGUGCUUCCUGCUGCCUAGAUAUAUGUGCAAUAUUGUGCAGAAGUGUCCGAUGUUGAGCCUACCUGUUGGACGGCGACGGCGCGCAGGAAGAGAGGUUGAACACGUUAAAAGUCCGAUCGGAAGCAACGGAGGAGCAACUAAAACCUUUCAAUAAACGGCUGUUGCUUAUUUCUGGCUGCCCGAAUCUCAGAUCGAUUCGUUUGAGCGCCCCCCAAAAAACGAUAUAAAUUGAAAUUACAAUCCUCGCAGCACGUGCAAAUAUUUUUUUCUCUUAUAUUUAGACCAACAACAAUUUACCUCUUUGCUUUGUUAUAAGUUGAUUGUUGUGGUUUGAUACACUCCUUCAAAUGUGAAUCAUCAUUUAUCAGCCUGAAAAUAAUUAGAUUUUAAAGACCGCAAUAAUAAAGGGAGAUGGAAACGGAAGCCAACUUCUGCACAGUGCUGUUAAUGUAUAUCUGUACAUAUAAUUUCUAUAUUUAUUCAAUGAACGUGUCCUAACGUGUCAACAAGUGAAAAACCUACAAAGUGGAACGUUGUUGAGAAUCUUGUUUUCAUAAUGUUUAAUAAAAAGUUCUGUCCCAAA